UACGUAGGUGGCAAGCGUUGUCCGGAUUUACUGGGCGUAAAGAGCGCGCAGGCGGUCGUUCAAGUCGCGUGUGAAAGCCCCCGGCUCAACUGGGGAGGGUCACGCGAUACUGAUCGACUCGAAGGCAGGAGAGGGUAGUGGAAUUCCCGGUGUAGUGGUGAAAUGCGUAGAUAUCGGGAGGAACACCAGUGGCGAAGGCGGCUCGCUGGGCCGUUCCUGACGCUGAGACGCGAAAGCUAGGGGAGCGAACAGG
This 253-nucleotide ribosomal RNA is filed under the name uncultured bacterium. RNAcentral describes it as "partial 16S ribosomal RNA". It matches the Rfam family "Bacterial small subunit ribosomal RNA", at positions 524 to 776 of the family's 1533-position model. The record is from RNAcentral.